Molecule: long non-coding RNA, 423 nt
Filed under: Apteryx rowi (Okarito brown kiwi)
Lineage: Eukaryota; Metazoa; Chordata; Aves; Apterygiformes; Apterygidae
Description: lncRNA (ENSARWG00000010893.1)
Source: RNAcentral
GGCUGACGGCUCCGCUCGGUUCCAGAGCCGAAGAACAGCCUGCUCCUCCUCAUCCUUGUGGUGCUGGCUGCUGUCCUCACUGCCAUCGUGGCGGCUGCCGGCUUCGUGGUCCGGAAGAAGAGCUCAAGCAAGGGGCCGUCCGGCCGUCGGUGGGCCCUGGGCUCGCGGUGGGUGCGGAGCGGGGAGGAAGGGAGAACAGAGAAGGGCUACAAACCCGCAGYGGGUAGAGCCUCAGGGGAGAUGCAGUUUCUCUUGGGCUCUGGCUGCUCCAGCCUCACCAACCAUCUGCGGGGCGUCCUGUGUUAUCUUGUGACUCUCCAUGUUCUCCAUCUGGGAUCAGGUAGGAAUGUCGUGGCCCGUGUCGGGUGGUGCAGGGCUGACAUGGGUGUUGCCCAGCUGUGUCUUCCAGAUGUGCGUCGCUGU